Gavialis gangeticus (Gharial) is the source of this 1785-nucleotide long non-coding RNA. RefSeq lists it as uncharacterized. The record is from RefSeq and is a predicted model, not a curated record. Lineage: Eukaryota; Metazoa; Chordata; Crocodylia; Gavialidae. The transcript has 2 exons.
AAACUUGUGGAAGAGGUGAUGGCAGGGCACUGAAUAAGCAACCCAAGACAUGGCAUAAGCAGCAGGAAAAUCAGGAGACUAAUAUUUCUGGGGCACAGUAAGUGUCUGAACUAGACUCGAGGUUUAACACUGCUGUGAGUGACAGAUCUGCUGGUUUACAGGGUAUUUGCACUGAGCAGAGUAAAUGCUUCAGACCAACAAGAAGAGACUAGUCACUCUCACCGUUUAAUAUAUGCUUGCAAAGUACUGGCAGCAACGAUCCCUUGUGGCACUUCUGUAGCCAGGGUCAGAUACAUCAAAUCUGAAAGAGCUGCAGGCUCAUAUCAUUACUAUAUACAAGCAUCUCAUUGUAAACCUGCCUAGUGCCAUGUGUUGAAAAGUGCUAAUCCCAGAGCAAACUGGAUUCUGCCCAGGCAGGCCACGCACCAGUCAAGUGUUGAACCUUGCUCAGUAUAUCAAAGAGAGCUUUGAAAAGGAUUUGGUAGCUUGUGCUGUGUUUGCUGACUUGCCAACAGCAUAAAAUAUAAUGAAUCACCAGAGGCUCCUCACAAAAAUACACAAUGUGAUAAAACAUCUCCACUUACAUGCCAGAUACAAAUACUCUCACUAGGGAACUGACAAUUUUAGAUUGAACUAUAUAGAAAAUGGAGCCAGUGGUGGUGACAACAAAUGGCCUACUAUACAAAAGGGGACUACUCUUAAACACCUACAUUAAAUCCCAACCAAUUCAUUCCAGCACAAAAAAUUUUUUUUGUCAGCAAUCAAUGCAUCGCUGAGUAAACCAAGGUUCUUGCCUAGAACAAUGCCACACUAAUUAACAAUACUCUCCGGGUUCUCAGUCUAACUCAGAACCAGUUACAUAAUAACCUAAGAUACAAGUGAGUCUUUUCCAUUUCUGGAACUAUGAUGCCAACAGACAACUUGCCACCGUCAGGAAUGAGGCACCACUUGCCAGUCGCUGGAAUCCUGUCCACCUUGAGGGGAGCCUAGAUUCCAGGCUCUCCUUAAAGGCACAAGUGGAGACAACAAAAAGGCAAAGCUAGUGAUUGGAACCAGAUGGGGAGAAAGCCUGCAUAGGCUCACACAGAGAAACUGGAUCCUGUGCUGAAUGAUAGGUGUCACUGUACUGUGGGAUGUCUAAAACCAACAAGUGUUAACAAACAGUCUGUAUGUGCUUAGACAAUCGUUCCGCUAGACUUGAAGAGGGUGGUCGCAAGCAAAAUGGAAUGAUACCGACAGGCUGAAGAUACCAGACAUGGCUAAACUGCAGCCUGAAAUGACAUGAAAAACUUUUUAGUUGCAACAGAACUGCUUAAAAGAAAUCACCUACAACUAGACAACUGGAAAUAUGGGCUGCACAGCUUGAUGCACUCAACAAGGAAGUAAAAAUGCACACUGACAUCAUCAACCAUGUUCCCACAGGUGCAAAGAACUGGUCAACCUGGAGAGGUUUAAAUGGCAUGAACAUGAGUUGACAGGUCAAGAGAGAAAAAGAGGAGGUGCUACUAACAACCAUGGUACAUUUCCCUGGAAAUAUGGAAAAUAUGUGGAGUGUAGCAGGAAGCUGCAUUCAUGCUACGUGGUAACAACAAACUAGUAAGUUUACAUCUACUAAAAAAAUUCAUGAGGCAGUAUCUGUUUAAAUUAAGUUUUCAAAGCAACAGGCCUGGAUAACUCUUACCCAAGAGUCCUAAAGUAACUAGCUGAGGAGUCCUUUGGAUCACUGUUAAGCCGUUCAACAAAUUUUGGAAAACUGGGAAAAUUCUAAAGUGAGCAGUAGUGUAG